RNAcentral lists this ribosomal RNA (373 nucleotides) under uncultured organism. RNAcentral's name for it is "partial 16S ribosomal RNA". It matches the Rfam family "Bacterial small subunit ribosomal RNA", at positions 527 to 896 of the family's 1533-position model. The record is from RNAcentral.
GGAGGGGGCGAGCGUUAUUCGGAAUUAUUGGGCGUAAAGGGCAGGUAGGCGGCUUUGUAUGUCUCCUGUGAAAGCCCUCGGCUCAACCGAGGAAUUGCAGGGGAAACUGCGGAGCUUGAGUCCGGGAGAGGCUAGUGGAAUUCCCAGUGUAGCGGUGAAAUGCGUAGAUAUUGGGAGGAACACCGGUGGCGAAGGCGGCUAGCUGGACCGGUACUGACGCUGAGCUGCGAAAGCUAGGGGAGCGAACGGGGAUUAGAUACCCCGGUAGUCCUGGCUGUAAACGCUGAGCACUUGGUGUGGCGGGUAUCGACCCCCUGCCGUGCCGAAGCUAACGCAUUAAGUGCUCCGCCUGGGGAGUACGGUCGCAAGGCUG